AUUGAACGCUGGCGGCAUGCCUUACACAUGCAAGUCGAACGGCAGCACGGGAGCAAUCCUGGUGGCGAGUGGCGAACGGGUGAGUAAAGUAUCGGAACGUGCCCAGUCGUGGGGGAUAACGUAGCGAAAGUUACGCUAAUACCGCAUACGAUCUAUGGAUGAAAGCGGGGGAUCGCAAGACCUCGCGCGAUUGGAGCGGCCGAUAUCAGAGUAGGUAGUUGGUGGGGUAAAGGCUCACCAAGCCGACGAUCUGUAGCUGGUCUGAGAGGACGACCAGCCACACUGGGACUGAGACACGGCCCAGACUCCUACGGGAGGCAGCAGUGGGGAAUUUUGGACAAUGGGCGAAAGCCUGAUCCAGCCAUGGCGCGUGCAGGAUGAAGGCCUUCGGGUUGUAAACUGCUUUUGUACGGAACGAAAAGGUUUGGCCUAAUAAGCUGAGCUCAUGACGGUACCGUAAGAAUAAGCACCGGCUAACUACGUGCCAGCCGCCGCAGUAA
RNAcentral lists this ribosomal RNA (500 nucleotides) under uncultured bacterium. RNAcentral describes it as "partial 16S ribosomal RNA". It matches the Rfam family "Bacterial small subunit ribosomal RNA", at positions 30 to 523 of the family's 1533-position model. The record is from RNAcentral.